AUACCCACGUAAUACGCACAACCCCCAUGCGUGUCGUAUAUCUUUGUUUUAUUUGCACUAAUAGUUUUAAUUCGUCAGAGACUCACUGAAAUUCGAACACGCGAAUGCGAAAUUCGAUACAACGCACCUAGGAUGAUCACCGUAGGGGAUUUUUCGAAACCGGAAAUAAAAACUAGAAAAUUCAAAUUAGAAUUUUUCAUUACCCCUGUUCGAUUUCAAGUUUUAUAACGUUAUCGCAAAAAUAUUUAACAUUGUGAAUGAUCUACACCGUUCAAAAUUGAAACUUGAUUUUUAUUCAUUACUUUUUUCAAAUUCAUUUUCAUUUUUAAACUUCUUACUUCAUCGUCAUAUAUGAGAAACGAUUUGAUUGCAAUCUAAAGUUUCUUCUCUAACAUACGUAUGAGAUGACGUAUGCGUAUGAGGCAUUCCACGUUUUGAAUUUGUUCGUGCGAUAUAUUUCCUGGUGAAAGCAGCACCCACGGUUUUUUUUGUUUUUCUCUUUCGGUUUUGAUUUAAUGCAAGCAUUUUUGAAUCAAGAGUUUCAAACUUUCAAAACUGGUACACGGUAAAAUCUUUGUAAGAAGCGUACCGUUGACUGAAAAAGAAAUGCAUAUUGGCAAAAUGAAAUUUAAAAUCAACGAACGAUCGAUUGCGAAUAGUUGCAUAAGGUGCGUCAUGCGCUAUUCCCAGAUAAUGUUAAAACGCAAUCGAAAUUGGCGGAUUUUUUUUUUUUCUACACAUUCAAUACGUUAUGUCAGUAAUGAAGCCCGGGAGGUAGGUUCCAUUCAAUCACAGAUGCUAUGAGGAUAUUUUCUUCAGGUAUAAAGAGACACGAACUGGUCGAGUUUCACGUUGGAAAACUGCAUCGCAUCUGGAUAUUACCUGAAGGCUAAAUUACACAUACGUUCGCAUCGUGGGUAAUAUACAUAUAAGUAUAUACACAAAAUUAAUCCAGUUGUCGCUUUUUAGAAUGCAUUAUAUGCUACAAAUGUAAUGUACCGAUUUAUUCGCGUAAGAAAUUGCGUAAUCCAUUUUUCUCGAUUGUCAAUAUUUAGCGGACGUAAAAAAUGCUAUGAAUUUAAUUGAAACAAUCACGUCUUCUCAAGGAUCCUCGAAUUUGACGGCGUCUUCCGAUACGCUCGGUAAUUUCUCGUGCACCUGGUUAUUCUUAAGAAUUAUUAUUGCACGCAGCCUGGUUAUACGUACAUUCUACUACUUCUGGGUUACAUAUUUUGUAACCGGAAGUCUUGCUGAGCGAAGUGCGGAUAAUCGGUUGGCUUUACACAUGUACAGAGGACGAGUGUGUACUCCGCGCGUGAAAUUUUCUUUAUCAUGAGAGUCAAAUCUUGAUACUUGAAAUUGUUCCUCAUCACGCUACACGCACGGAAUCUCCCGUGUGAGAGAUACCGAAUACCGAUGAAUUAUGCAAAUUCUCCCGUCAAAAAAAAAAACUGAAGAAAAAACAAAUCAGUAAAUGAAAUGAGGGCCGGGAUCUCCUCGCAUACGCGUGAUAUUAUAUACUUUCUUUUUCUUAUGCUCAACGCGAUCAAUAAUUGUAAUUAUUUUAUCGAGAUGUAAAAAUUCCAUCUUCCAAACAGAGAUGUGGAUGAAUAAAUGAGAGAGAAAAGAAAAGAAUGAAAAUAUUUUUGACAAUUCGUUCCAGCGGUUGUAAUUGUGAUGAUUUUUUAUUCCGUUCAACUUUUUGGGAUACGCCCUUACGGGCAGCCCCCGUAAUAUCUGGUUGGUUACACCUGAAAUGGGAAAGCUGUAAAGCGUGGGAAUAUUUGGAGUGAUUUUGUAUCGAGAAUUGACGAUUUUCAAUGUAUCUUUAUAUAUACUGUAGGUAUAUGUACAGUACUUUACGGAAUUUCUCAUUAAAGACAAAGGUGGGCCACUUUCUCCUCGAUAUGUGCAACGUCGGUAAAUAUAUGUUAGCGAGUAUAUAGUGUACAUAACGCAUCAAGUACAUGAAAUGCAUGAGGUAUACUGUAUCGUACGUAUAUACAUAUAAAUGUGUUGGCGGAUUCUACCUUCUUAUCUUCGAUUUCGAAUCUAAAGUUGAAAAAACAUUUUAAAGCUACCAGGAAUUCCUGUAGAUUUGACAUUCAAGGAUCUAUAAAUUAGACAAAAAAAAGCCAAACUGUUUGAAAAGAGGAAUUCGGAACUUCAGCCUUCAUCGAACGAUCGACGAUACAAAGUCUUUCGGUGGAAAUUCCUGCACCGAUGUUGCAAGAAAAAAGAAUAAAUAAAAACUAGAUGAACUAAAAACUAGUUCAGCGAGCAAUGAACGUAAUUCAUAGCUGUGUAUAAAUGAAAAGAAAAGAUUUAUGAAUCGCAAGAAUUUCUAGCAACUACGUUCAUUCAAUAAAUGAUAUUACCCGUUCUACAACGCUUCCCGCUGCACGCACUUGUUGUAAUAAUGGUAUGUAAUAACUAAAAGUACAUAAUAAUGAUUAGUUAAUAACAUUUAUUGUUGUUAUUAAUAUUGUUAUGUUAUUAUUGUCAUCAUCGCAGGUGAAGCAGACACCGUAGCGGAAAGUACGAACUCUCGGUAUCAGCUGUUGAUACGGCAGAUCUGCGGGUUAAAAUCGGUGAUCGUCCGUUGAAACCGAUUUUUCUAAGUAAUCAAUUACAUGCAAAUGAGAUGGACCGAAUGACCUAAGAAAAUUAGGAAAUAUAAUUAAGGUCUUUCGCAACAUGGCAAUAUAGUUAUUUCAUUUGGUCUGGUGGCAGGUAACGUUGAUCCAGCAGCUGAAGAAACUAACUCAUGCAUACACGUAUCAUGCGUUACGUCAGAGUUUAUGGCCCAAAGUAGGUGACCGGUGGAGACGCUACCGGGUGAAAGCAAGGGUCAGCCUAAAGGCCAUUCCGACACUAAUACAGUAAGUGCAUGCACCAUACUCCGUGUGCGGAUAUACAUACGCGCGGGUACGUGCAACAUUUGCCGAGAUUUUGAAUGAUUUCGUUUUUGAAUUUCUUCUACCUUUUUCACCCUUCGUUAUCGCCUUGCCACGUGUUUGGCUUGCUGGUUGAAAUCACUAUACGGUAAACAAAACUAUUUGAAAUUUCACCGGGUGUGUACGUCGAAUAAUCUUUCAUCGGACCGUUUCCAAAUCUCGAUCGAUUCGCCCCAAAGAUCUUCCAGGACCAAUCGAAUGAGUAAAAAGGAGGAUAAAUUUUACUUGAACUUUUCGGAUUGUUAUCUCAAUUGGAAAGCGUGGCUACGAGCAUGCAUUUUUCCUGCUUUGCAUGUAACACUUACCUCCGCGAUAUUGGCAGUUGUCGUUUUCUUACUUGCAGUCUGCAAUUGCAUAGUGACGGAAUAAUAACAAUUUCACGCGGGGUUUAAAAUUGUUCGUAACCAGGUAAUGGUACUCGGUAAUGCAAAAAAUGAAUUUUCAAUCACCGAGAUAACGACUGCAAAUAUCGUAUGGAUUAAAGAAGUUGCUGAAAUUAUUUGUAAAAAAAUGCAUAUACUCAACGGUCACGCUUUCCAAUUGUAAAGAAAUUUCUCAGUAUUUCUCAAAAUUAUUUGGAGCAGAUCCAAGGGGCGCGUCGAUUAAAAUUCAAAAAUAUGUCCGUAUUAAGUAAUUACCACCCACUGUUACACUUCUACGCGGUCCGAGAUUGAUCAAAACCUUUCUCCUGCCUUCUCCCCUCACCUGACUACAAUUUCUUCUUUUUUUUUUCUUUCUUUUUCUCAAAUCAGGUACUGCACGAUUAUGUAUACCAAGUAAUCUCGGUAGGUGAAUAAAUAAAUACAUUUACAUACACCUACGUCGAAGCGUUUCGCUAUAGUCUUCGCACAAUCGCUAAUUCUAUUCUUGAUUCUUCGCUAUGAUCGUGUUCAUACAGUACACCUACCUACGCCAUGCGGUCGGCGGUUGUCGGCUAAUUGUAAGUACUUACAUAGGUAUUGCGUGUAACAAUAUAAGUACACAUAUUGCAGAGACGCUGAUUAAUUGUGUGUGCUUUAUAUUAUAGGUACAUAAAUUAUCCUGCGUGCUUGGUAUUACAAUCUGUAAAUGCAUCUCGCGAUACGACCGGUGCUAAUCUGUUGAACAAAAGUGUAGGUCAUUCGGUAGAUAUAGGUGUAGGUACGUAUAGGUAUGACACAGAGAAUGCUUAAUUUAUGUAGCAUGCUUCAGUUUGCUCAUUCUUUAUAUUCAAAUAAAUGUUAUGCAGUACCCAUACUCAUAGUUAAACAGCCGACUCCUUCGAUGACUGUGACCGGUUAUUAUAUUAACAACUAGGAAGUACCUUUUUUUCCUUCCUCUGUCCCAGUUGAUGUCCGCGGGCAAACUCAAUUCUAAAAUCAUUUCAUUGACUCUCGGCUGUAAUUAUUCAAGGUACGCUAAUUUCUUUUUUCUUUAAAAUGACAGUAAUCGGACGAUCGUUGAUCAGAAAAUAGAAUGAAGAUCGAGGUGAAACAAAAAUUGUCCAAAGUGUGCCAAGUUCGUACGAAACAACGAAUGCGUGAAUUUAGCGAGAACGCUUUGCAUAGUAUGCGUUUUGUCGGUCGAUGGGACAUGACAUGACAUCUGAUUGAUCAUGUAUAUGUAUGCAACGGGGGUUUGCUUAUCGUAACACUUUACGGUCAGACGUUAAUCAUCUCGGUCAGUCCGACCGUACGCGUUUCGACUUCUUAUACACAUACGUGUGCAUUUCGACGACCGAAAAUCCCCGAAACUGAAACAAAUCGAGAACAACUUACGCCACAGUUUCGCGCAAGUUCAACGAGUUCAACGUACUCAUCGCAUGUAAUGCACCGGUAUCUUUCACCUGCGAUCAGCUUUGUUUCAUUCGAUCAGCUCCCGGUUCUCUUUUCCGUUUAUCAAAAAUUGUCGCGGUGGUCGAAAAAAUGCUUUCGUCUUCCGCCGAUCACCGUCGCGUUAUUACGCCGCAUGAAAUUCAACCGUGCAACGUACGUACGUAUACGUACCCAUGGCUACGUGAGUUUUACUCGAUAUCCUUGAACGCGGAAAUGGCUCCGUGCAUAUAUCGCGGAGUUAUUAAAAACACGCGACAUCCGCGUAGUACGAGGAAAUGUACAAGUUCGCGCGAUUCCCUACUUUCAAAAUCGAACGCGCUUUCACGGUGAUGAGUACGUACCGCACACAAGCGCAACGUAAGCAAUCGGUUGCCAUAGGCUCUCGCACGGUUUUGCCGUUGGAAUUCUCAAACGAAAUGCGAACAGAAGUCUUCCGUCGGUCGUUCGCCGCGCGGCAAUAAGGCGCAUAUCAUCGUCAAUAUAUACAUGUACGAGGAACGAACGAUCGUUCAACAGAUGUCCCGGUUUUUGAAGGAGGCCGUUGCCUGACCUUUCGAAAGUAUAUACCCCGCACACACACACACACAUGUGUGUAAGUAUAUUUUUUCUCUCCUUCUUUCCUUUAUCUUGUCCUUUUUGGUUGUUUUUUUUUUUUUUCUUUCAUUUUUUUUGUGGGUCUUGACGAAAAAAUAUAGUCCUUGUGAAAGUUGCCCUCUGGCUAUGGGUAUAUGUAUACGUUUGCCGGUAGGUAGAAUAAUAUAAUGUGUGUAUGUAACGCUACCGCGGUAUAUUCCUGUAGCGUUAUUGGACCCGAGGCAAUAACCGUGCAAAAGUGAGGUGAAUGAAAAAAUAAAAAUGACAAAAAAGAAAAAGAAAAGAGAAUCACAUUUUCAAGCGCUCGUUCGUUUGGUACGAUGCAAAUUCGCACGAGUUAUAGGGCAAGCGGCCUACAUGAGUCCGAUGGUCACCGCGUAUAUAUAUUUUCACUUUCGCUUGCGACGAGCUGCAUCGGAUCCUUUUACAGACUUUUACAUGCUUUUACGUUCUUCCCACUUGCUUUUAUUUUUCGCAUUUCUUUUUUUAUCGCUCCGAUCGAAUCGCUCAUCGAUUACGCCGCUGAUAGCGGCAAGAGGUUUCCGGUGAAGUUAUAAAAUUAUACUAACGAUAGACUUUCGGAGGAAUAUUCUAAGAUCUUUUGGAAUUGAACGGUAUGGUGUGUUUUUUUUUAGUUGGAGUUCCAUAGCGUAAUUAUUCGCGAUGAACGGUAUACAUGGUACCGUGGAAAUUUUACCGGAACGGUAAAAUUUUGCUCUUUUUUUUUUCUGUUUGUUUGUCGUAAUUAACAAUUGUUCUAGUUGUGCGAGUGAAAUCCUAACCGAUUAAUGCGAAGAUAUCUUCUACGGUCUCUUCGCU
Athalia rosae (coleseed sawfly) is the source of this 6184-nucleotide long non-coding RNA. RefSeq lists it as uncharacterized. NCBI's taxonomy places the organism in Eukaryota, Metazoa, Arthropoda, Insecta, Hymenoptera, Athaliidae. The transcript is spliced from 3 exons. The record is from RefSeq and is a predicted model, not a curated record.